RNAcentral lists this ribosomal RNA (701 nucleotides) under Clostridium perfringens. Its description in RNAcentral is "bacterial SSU rRNA". It matches the Rfam family "Bacterial small subunit ribosomal RNA", at positions 1 to 715 of the family's 1533-position model. The record is from RNAcentral. Lineage: Bacteria; Bacillati; Bacillota; Clostridia; Eubacteriales; Clostridiaceae.
UUUAAAUUGAGAGUUUGAUCCUGGCUCAGGAUGAACGCUGGCGGCGUGCUUAACACAUGCAAGUCGAGCGAUGAAGUUUCCUUCGGGAAACGGAUUAGCGGCGGACGGGUGAGUAACACGUGGGUAACCUGCCUCAUAGAGUGGAAUAGCCUUCCGAAAGGAAGAUUAAUACCGCAUAACGUUGAAAGAUGGCAUCAUCAUUCAACCAAAGGAGUAAUCCGCUAUGAGAUGGACCCGCGGCGCAUUAGCUAGUUGGUGGGGUAACGGCCUACCAAGGCGACGAUGCGUAGCCGACCUGAGAGGGUGAUCGGCCACAUUGGGACUGAGACACGGCCCAGACUCCUACGGGAGGCAGCAGUGGGGAAUAUUGCACAAUGGGGGAAACCCUGAUGCAGCAACGCCGCGUGAGUGAUGAAGGUUUUCGAAUCGUAAAGCUCUGUCUUUGGGGAAGAUAAUGACGGUACCCAAGGAGGAAGCCACGGCUAACUACGUGCCAGCAGCCGCGGUAAUACGUAGGUGGCGAGCGUUAUCCGGAUUUACUGGGCGUAAAGGGAGCGUAGGCGGAUGAUUAAGUGGGAUGUGAAAUACCCGGGCUCAACUUGGGUGCUGCAUUCCAAACUGGUUAUCUAGAGUGCAGGAGAGGAGAGUGGAAUUCCUAGUGUAGCGGUGAAAUGCGUAGAGAUUAGGAAGAACACCAGUGG